AUCCAUCUGACGAGUCCUAAAUAGGACGAAACGCCCACCUUGGAU
RNAcentral lists this non-coding RNA (45 nucleotides) under Schistosoma haematobium. The record is from RNAcentral. Lineage: Eukaryota; Metazoa; Platyhelminthes; Trematoda; Strigeidida; Schistosomatidae.